GUCCAUAUCAAUGAAAAAUAAAACUUAAAAAACCGCCUCCUUCAUACCCCGUACCACCAUAACUUUCAAACCCUAAAAAUUCAUCAUCUCCCACACGGGUUAGAGCUACGAUUAACCCCAUAAUUUUGGAUGAAUUGUGUACUCAAUUUCCCUUCCUUGUGCUACUUGAAUUUCGGAGGUUUAUUUUCCCUUUUUCACGAAGAGUGGAGGUUUGAACGAAGAUUGGAGGUUUAAAAUUGAAGGUGUCUAAUCAGGAGGAAGACAUGCCGAACAUGGGUAUUCAUGGUAUUCUGUUCUGUUAGGCAAAGCCUAAACUUAGGCCCUUGUUCCAUACUCCCUUGGCCGUGAUGUCAAACAGAGAGAAAAUCACUUUCCAGUACUUCAAGAAGCUGUUUGCUCAAGUUACAAACCCUCCCAUUGAUCCUAUCAUGGAGAAAAUUGUGUCAUCCAUAGAGUGCAUGAUUGGUCCUGGAGGUGAUCUCACAUAAAUGAGUGAGGAGCAGUGUCAUCGUCUCUCACUGAUGGGGCCUAUUUUAUCCAUUAAAAAGAUUGAAUUAAGAGGUUGGCGUAGCAACGUAAUUCAUAUCACUUAUCCCAAGACCCUGGGCAGGAAAGGCUUGGAGCAAACGUUGGACAGGAUCUGUGCUGAAGCUAGGGAUACAAUAAAGGUUACACGGUUUUGGUGCUUUUUGACAACUUUCGCGCCAAGUGUAGUUGCAGUGAGCUCUCUAUUGCGUGUACGACGAAGAACCCUUUGAUAAUAUCAUCAUAUCACAUUGUCUGGUUCUCCAAUGUGUGCUUCUGAUAUAGUGAUGAUGCUAUUGCUGCACUCCUUGAAAGUUCUGGAGAAUCUUUGGAUGAAUUAAGUCUUAAUAACAUCUCCAAGGUUGGCCAGAAUACCACCAUUUAUCUUGCCAGGCGUUGCAAAAAUCUCGAGUUCUUGGAUCUUUCAUGGUGUCGCCUCCUUACAGACGAGACACUAGGAUUAAUUGCAGACAGUUGCUGGUCUCUCAGGUUGCUCAAAAUUUUUGGUUACACACAGGUCGUCCAACGUGAUAAGGUGCAAAAGCAGCAUGAAGGCCAAGACAGUUGAGCUUCAUAUGAGCUACUACCAUCGAUCAUCUAUAUGUAGUAUAUACAGUAUAUCCUAGCUAGUUAGCUUUUCUAAGUUUUAGUUUUAAUUUCUUGGGUUUGAUUUAUGAUGUUGUUUUUUACUGUUGGUUAGGAUUUUGGUUAGUAAUAUUGAUGCGUGUAUGUUUAUUUGGAUUCUGGUUAGUAACGUACGUGUACGUACUAUGAAUUUUAACUACUUAAGUUAAUUUUAUUGUUAAUUGAA
Molecule: long non-coding RNA, 1336 nt
Organism: Spinacia oleracea (spinach)
Lineage: Eukaryota; Viridiplantae; Streptophyta; Magnoliopsida; Caryophyllales; Amaranthaceae
Exons: 8
Source: RefSeq, a predicted model, not a curated record